GUGUUAAAUGCUGAAUUGCCUGUGAAUUGACGUCUACAUAUUCUUGAGGGUUUUGGUUCUUAAAUGAAUAAAGAAAACAAAUUUCCUGGGCGGGAAAGAAGCAGACAUACUUGCUGGUAAGAUGAGUAUGGUACAGUUGCAAGGGCGGGACCAGUUGCUGACAGCACAAAAUGAAAUGCUCAAGGUACUCUACUCUACUGCUUCAUCAUAUAUGUCUGCAAGUUUGGUUGGCAGUUUCCCUUAUUACAGAUGCGUUGGCUGCAUCUGGUCAGGCGUUGAUUGCUAGUUCGGUUUCAAAAGGGAAUUAUAGAUCUGUGAAGGAUAUCACAUACUUCGUGUUGAAUGUAAUGUUAAUUAAUAAUUAUUUUGUUUAUAUAAUAUAUAAAGAUGUUUUUAUUUUAUAAAAGUUAAUUAAUGUUUUAUUAUUUUCUUUAGAUUGGUUUUGUGAUGGGUGUUACUUUGGCUGCAAUAUUGGGAGUUUCAUUUGGUUCCAUAGUCACACUGUUCACUAAGGACAUUGGAGUAUUGGCGAUUGCUAGAACCGGGGUUUUGUUUGUGAGUGCUAGUCAGCCUUUGAAUGCUUUUGCUUUUAUUGUUGAUGGUUUGCAUUAUGGAGUUUCAGACUUCCCGUAUGCUGCUUAUUCCAUGGCCAAAACCAUUGCAUUUUGCAAUAGUUGAUGAACUUGAUUAUGUCCUAAUUGAUGAGGGAAGAAACCCAUUGUUGAUAAGGGGUGAGGUAUGUCUUCUUACUUU
This is a non-coding RNA of Lactuca sativa (garden lettuce), 753 nucleotides long. The record is from RefSeq and is a predicted model, not a curated record. NCBI's taxonomy places the organism in Eukaryota, Viridiplantae, Streptophyta, Magnoliopsida, Asterales, Asteraceae.